Molecule: long non-coding RNA, 2925 nt
Organism: Canis lupus familiaris (dog)
Lineage: Eukaryota; Metazoa; Chordata; Mammalia; Carnivora; Canidae
Exons: 4
Source: RefSeq, a predicted model, not a curated record
GUAAGAUGCCACGCCCCAGGGGCAUUGAGAUCCACACUUCAGUGGGGGAAGCACGCUCUGAAAAAUGUGCCCCACCUCCCUAACUUGGGGCUUGGCCAGUGGAAUAUCAGUGAAAUGGACCAGGACUCUAAAUGUGCUUUCAUAGUUUGACUUGGCCCCUUAGCCUCUGCCACCUGCCAGGAGUGGGAGUUGCACAUGCCUUGUGGGUCUGGUCUCAAACAAAAGAGACUUCUCAGCUGACUGGAACUCUCCCUCCAGCGUGGAGUCCAACCUAGUCAGUGAAUCUCAACCACAGGUGGAGGACUCUGCUGUCAGGGAUGGGAACUCACAGAUGAAAGGGGUCACACCGAUAAAACCUACUUGCCAACUAGGAGCAACUGCAUUGACAAUUAUAGAGAGAAAGAGAGCACGUGAACAUAAGCAGGAAGAACUGGGAGUCUGACUCCGGGCUCAAUCCCAGGACCUCGGGAUCAUGAGCUGAAGGCAGACACUUAAUCACCUGAGCCACCCAGGCACCCCUACACUAAUCAUUUUAGAGCAUACAACUGAACGUUACUCCUACACAUAUUUCAAAUACUGUAUUGGUGCCUUGAACAUUUCACCACUGUAUUCUACUUGACAGGUGUGCUCCAGUAUCCAGGGGAAAGUGCACUGAUAUCUCUGCCGCUUACUUUAAAAGGCAUGAAACAAAAAAAUGAAUAAAGAUUGAAAUACAUACGGAAGAGUGAAUAAGGGGACGAAUGGAAGGAUGGAUUAUAACAAAGAGCCAGUCUGGCAGUUCCGAGAGACAUCUAUGCCCCUGCCUCCUUCUGACUAUAUUCUCUGCCAUCUCAGCCUGUGGUCUCCGGGGCUUCUGCUCAUUUCUCCGAGGGACCUGGGGGCAAAUGCUGAGUUCAUGCUCCAAAUCCACCUUGGAGCACUCCUGGCUGCUCACUAGGAACUGCCUCCAUCUCCUUCCAACUGUUUCUGCGAUGACUUUGAGAACUCCCUCGGACGCCAUCGCAAUCGCAAACAUAUCAGUAAAGCACUUCCUCCUGGGUCUGAGCAGGGGAGUUGAAGGGCAGGGAUAGGAAGGAUAAGAAAACCAGCCAAAGGCCCCCAGGAACACAGCUGCACCUGGGCAAGUGGUGUUUAUUCCCCGUGGCAGCGAGGGGGAAUGUGCGUCAAGUGGGACUGCGGUAUCUCAGGAAGUCAGAGUGUCUGAGAGGUGUCAGAGAGGACUUGGCAUAGAAUUUGGGCUUGUGUAGGGAAUUUGAGGGAGGGCUUAUGGAAGGGGGGCUUUGCUCUGGGUUGGAUGCUGCCGGGGAGGUGGGGCACGUGUAAUUCUGUAGACAGGUAUCUUAAUAGGUCUUAUGUAGGAGGAAGACUAGAUCUAGGGAGGCUACAGCAGUAACUGAUGAAGAAAGCACAGCAGUCUCUCAAAGCCUCUCUCUCAGAGGGGGAUAUUUGGUCCCAGCUGUGGAGUGGACACACUCAUGUUUUCCUCCACGUUCAUACACUGCUGUUGAGGGUCUUGUUUUCAUCUCAAUCCAUCGUAAGACAAAAUGCUCUUGUCUGAUGCUGCUGUGUGAAAUUGCUAUGUUCAACAGAACACUGAGACCAGGCCCAUAUCCAGCUGUUAGACAUGUCCCCUUCUCAGGGCUCCCUGAGCUUCUAGCUGGAUUUGGUCAAUGGGCAGCCAUAGCAAAUGAUGGAAGGGGGAGAGAGGAGAGAGAAGUCUGGGAACUUAUUCUCCCGGGCUCUCCCCUUGCAGGGCUCCUGUAGCUGGCUACACAUUCCCCUUCAAAGGUCACAGCUCCUCUGAAAGGAGCACUCUCUACAUGACUCUGUUCUUUUAGAUCUUCACAAUAGUCUCUUCUCCUUAUCUAUUUGGGGUUAGGGCUGGUGGUAACAGCUCCAGCAUUCCUGGGCCUGGGGUAUAGCUCCAUCCUACCUUUUUGUAAACAGCUCCUUAGGGAGACCCUUCUUGAAUUAUCCAAUGUGAGUGUGCUGACUGAUGCCUGCUGGGAACCUCCCCAAUGCAAGAGGCUCCCCAGAUGGCAGGCUCAUAGACCUUCUGCAGCGCUGGGCUCUGAUAGAACUUCAUAUUGAAAUGAAGCGUUAUGAAGAUGGCAGGAUCCGCCUGGAGGGCAUGUUCCCCACUUGUGUCCCCAGCCCCAAGCCCGGGGAAGCCACCUCCAAUGAGAGAGCCUGCCAGCCAAGCAAGGCAGCCUCUUUGGUUGCAAAUGGAGAUCUGUGCCCCUGCCGCAGCAGUUGAGAACCUGAAAAGAACUCUGGAGCAGAUAGAUCCUGUGUCAUAAGAAAGUCCCUCCUGGGCCAAUAAAAGACAGCCUGUAUCUGCCUCUAUGCGAGGACAGUGCACUGAGCUGGGCUACUGGGAGGAGGGUGCUGAUUCUCUGCUGCUGACUUGGGUUUCUGCAGUGACUGUAAGGCACAGAGCAGCACCCCCUAGCCUACUUGCUCCAGAGACAUUUCUUUCCCACACAGAGCUGUUUCCUCCACAAAUAUUUACUGUGGAACCAGAAUCUAUGACAGGCAAUGUGAGUUGGUACAAACAGACCCUUUGGCAAAGACUAAAUGAUAAAAUGGGAAAAAUAUAUAUAUAUACAACUCCUAUCUUAGAGAAAGAGCCAAUCUCCCUAAAAUAGAAAACAACCUAUGAAGAACAUGAGCCAAGGACAUGAAUUAUUAGUUCACGGAAAAGAAAAUAACACAAAAGUUUCUCAGUAGAGAAACAGGUGUAUAUGACCGAGUGCAGUUCUCCAGAAAAGAUUGUUCACCCUGGUAGAUAUGAUGUGCAAUAAGAUUGCUACCUAAUUCCAUCUCUUGGCCCAGGUUCCCCAAAAGUUGGCUUUUGAGUCAAGGACUUGGGUUCAGGUAGUCUACUUGGGAAGUGACCCCAGGAAACCCCAGUUCAGAAGUAAA